Molecule: transfer RNA, 73 nt
Filed under: Anaerolineaceae bacterium
Lineage: Bacteria; Bacillati; Chloroflexota; Anaerolineae; Anaerolineales; Anaerolineaceae
Also listed under: 2 other names
Description: tRNA-Arg
Rfam family: tRNA
About the family: Transfer RNA (tRNA) molecules are approximately 80 nucleotides in length. Their secondary structure includes four short double-helical elements and three loops (D, anti-codon, and T loops).
Source: RNAcentral
GCCCCCGUAGCUCAGAGGAUAGAGCAGCCGCCUCCUAAGCGGUAGGUCGCGGGUUCAAUUCCCGCCGGGGGCU